AUGCAUCUCUACCAGCUGAACUCACCCCGUCUGAGGUACAAAACGUUUGUGCAGUGCAGCUCCCUGUGCUCAGCUCCCACAGUGGCCAGACUUGCAACCCCUUUCCACUGGUGUUACAGGUAUUCCCUCAUGGAUGGAGCCUAUUAGUAGAUGUGACCAUGAAAAGACCACGGCCUACAAAGUGAGGUAUUUGCAUCUUCAGCUCCCCAGAGAUAAUUUAAUGAUUUACAAAAACAAAGAUGUCUGCCCUCAAAUUAAUCCUUGAUGGCCAAUGAGAUGAUGAAACCCACAAUAAAUUAGAUGAUCAUUCUCCAAGUUCCCAAAUGAUAGCUUUGAAGUCUUCUACUGCCUAUUACAAGUAUUCGGAUACUUCCCCAGCAAGGGUGGGCAGAAAGCCAACACAAGCCACCAGGUGCCAAUAUUACACCUGACAAAUUAGCCACACGACUGGAAAAGGGUGGGCCCAUCCUCCUGUUGGAGUUUCAUUUCCUCUCAUUUUCCCAUGAACAGGAAGUCAUUGGAAUGGGGAAAAAAGCUUUCCUUAAAGACCCAUAUGACCAAAGGUCUGAACUUGUUAACUCCUUGCUAACAAACAACUUGGAAGUCAAUUCAAACUAAUCACAAGACUUUAUUUACAUUGACUUGUGUAAUCCUGCUGAUGGCCUGGAGUCCAGGAUGUUAUGAUUUAUUUAACACUCAGGUUGUUGAUGGGGCACAGUGGGGCAUGCCCUUCAAUGUCAUAUGGAAUAAUUAUAGAGACAGAAGAGGCAGAUCGAUCACAGGCCUUGCAUAAAUCUUGGGAACCUGAAGAUUAAAGGGGUCCUGGUUAGAUCUGAUAGAAGCCAUAGUAUAGGUCCACAGUCAUAUUUAAUUCACACAAUGCAACAAGAUUAAUGGAAGAAUUUGGUAAGAACUCAUUGAGAGUCCAUAAAAUACUAAGAUGUAUUCAUGUAAUAUGUGAUUCAAUUGAAUGCCCUGACCAACUUGCAACUCCCACCUAAAGAUUAGUUACUCAGCUUGAUGAGUGUUAAAUCAAGUAUAAUAAAGGAAUGUUUUCUAGCUGAGAAAUAAUCCAAAGAACGAAGAUGUAUAUUUAGGCCUAUCUUAACAUCAUCACUAGGGAUAACCACAUAAUAAUAAUGACAUAUAUGAUUAUUAAAAUUAUAUUUUAGGGGGGCUGGCACUGUGGCACAGUAGGUUAAGCCUCUGCCUGUGGCACCAGCAUCCCAUAUGGGUGCCGGUUCUAGUCCCGGCUGCUCCUCUUCCAAUCCAGCUCUCUGCUAUGGCCUGGGAAAGCAGUGGAAGAUGGUCUAAGCCCUUAGGCCCCUGCACCCACAUGGGAGACCUGGCUCCUGGCUUCAGAGCUGCACAGCUUUGGCCAUUGUGGCCAUUUGAGGAAUGAACCAGCAAAUGGAAAACCUUUCACUCUGCCUCUCCCUCUCACUGUCUGUAACUCUACCUUGCAAAUAAGUAAAUAAAAU
Long non-coding RNA from Oryctolagus cuniculus (rabbit), 1481 nucleotides. RefSeq lists it as uncharacterized. The record is from RefSeq and is a predicted model, not a curated record. NCBI's taxonomy places the organism in Eukaryota, Metazoa, Chordata, Mammalia, Lagomorpha, Leporidae.